Molecule: transfer RNA, 76 nt
Filed under: Candidatus Portnoybacteria bacterium CG02_land_8_20_14_3_00_45_8
Lineage: Bacteria; Candidatus Portnoyibacteriota
Also listed under: 1 other name
Description: tRNA-Lys
Rfam family: tRNA
About the family: Transfer RNA (tRNA) molecules are approximately 80 nucleotides in length. Their secondary structure includes four short double-helical elements and three loops (D, anti-codon, and T loops).
Source: RNAcentral
GCACCGGUAGCUCAGUCGGUAGAGCACCUGCCUUUUAAGCAGAGGGUCGCAGGUUCGAUUCCUGCCCGGUGCACCA